AUCAGUGUGCAUUCAUGGGAACUGAUAGUAGAACAAGGUGUGUGGCUCUUGACAUUAAAGACCAAGUGGUGCAGGAAAGACCUGCCAGAACAUUAUAGUAAUGGAGAAAGUCUCUUACAAUGAUAUGUUCUGAAGGCAGUAUCAAUUUGUCAAAAAGAUCUGCAAGAUUUGCUGUGCUAAAGCUUUUUACAAUGGGAGAAAAUAAUAUAAAGGAAGACUUAGUGGUCGGGAGCUGAGAUAAUGUAAUGCAAAUGUAAUGGUUUUAAUCACAAACAAGCUCCUUAGAUCAGUUUGGGACUUGUAGGAAGACUUACUGGCCUGUGGUGAGAGUAUGUGACCAAAUGAUCCCUUUUAAUCUUAAACUCUUGGAAGUAUUUUAGCUGCAUUCCAAGCAAUUUGGCUGCCCUCACCUUUUUUUGCUCUCCAGUGACUUCAAGCCGGUUGCUAGUUCACCCAUACGGGACUGAUUUCAGUAAUGAAUGACAGACUUUUUUGCAGAAUGAAGGAGAGACUCUCUCUAACAGGGCCCACAUGCCACGUAGCCAGGGAGGAGUUCACUGCAGCUCCCCUCAGGGAUCUUCCAGGCUCUUCAGCCUGUAAAAGCUGUCCUGCAGGUCAGCAAAGAGGAGGUGGUGGCCACUGGAUACCCAGCACACGGCCUGGCAGAGCACUCCAGUGCACGCCCUCCUUCCCUACCUGCUGUCAAAAAUGAAGAUGAUGUUAACUCUUCUGGAAAUAGUGGAGGAGAUAAAAAGAAUAGCAGUAAGAAUGAAGAUGAUCAGAUAAAGAACUUGCAUAAUGUAUGCAUAUAGAUAUUUUUUCCUAAAGCAGCUUUCUGAAAGAUGGGGUUUCUGCAUGAACCUGCUUUGCAGGAAAUGUUUUAAGCUUUGUGAAAUUUUGUGUCUGAAGACUGCAACACGAGAAUGAAGCAGGAAAUAUGCUUGUGAGUACUUAGCAGGUGUGAGGAAAGAGCAAAAUUACUGCGGCCUUGGGAUCUAGGAAUGUGGAUUGAGAUCUACAAGAUGCCACUUCGUGGCUGUUGGUUCACCAGCUCAUGAAACAGCUUGUUCCUCCCCUCGCAAAGCAGCAAGUUAAUCUGUUUAUGGCUUUCCCAAGGCUAGGAGCACCAUCUAGCGGAAACCUGUGCUGGUUAAGUAAAUAACCCUGUUCUUCCAGGACAACAGAUUUCGUCUUUAGGCUAGAAGUAUAUACACUUGCUUUUGUCCCUAUCCACAAGCACAGGAGAGAAAAUUAAGUCCAAAAUCACAAAUCAAAUGAAUUAUGAAAGUGUUUCUAUUCUAUCCUCAUUCCUGUUGAGCCACUGUCACUAUCAGUGUUUGUGUCCAUUAUAAAAAUAUAGUAUCACUUUGGACAAUCCUUUAUUUUUAAGUGCUGUGGAUUCCUCACUGCUAUACUUAGAAUUUGGUGUUUUUAUGUUCAUAUUACAGUACUCAGUGUCUUCACCAGUUCCCUUAGAGUCAGUCUAUAAGCCUGUAAAUAUUUGAACUAUGACAGAGGGGUGCAGAAGAGUCUGAUACAAGGGUAGAGUCUGUGUUCCAUGAAAAAACAACAGAACAGAAGACCAUAACAGAAAUUGGAAAUAAUUUAUAGAAAUAAACAGUUAUCCUUUAAAUUCCUAUGCUUUAUC
Molecule: long non-coding RNA, 1648 nt
Organism: Parus major (Great Tit)
Lineage: Eukaryota; Metazoa; Chordata; Aves; Passeriformes; Paridae
Source: Ensembl